RNAcentral lists this ribosomal RNA (253 nucleotides) under uncultured bacterium. Its description in RNAcentral is "partial 16S ribosomal RNA". It matches the Rfam family "Bacterial small subunit ribosomal RNA", at positions 524 to 776 of the family's 1533-position model. The record is from RNAcentral.
GACGUAGGGAGCGAGCGUUGUCCGGAUUCAUUGGGCGUAAAGAGCGCGCAGGCGGUUUGGUAAGUCGGAUGUGAAAACCCGGGGCUCAACCCCGGGCGUGCACCCGAUACUGCCCGACUAGAGGUAGGUAGGGGAGAUCGGAAUUCCUGGUGUAGCGGUGAAAUGCGCAGAUAUCAGGAGGAACACCGGUGGCGAAGGCGGAUCUCUGGGCCUUACCUGACGCUCAUGGACGAAAGCGUGGGGAGCGAACAGG